Molecule: ribosomal RNA, 763 nt
Filed under: Staphylococcus aureus
Lineage: Bacteria; Bacillati; Bacillota; Bacilli; Caryophanales; Staphylococcaceae
Description: bacterial SSU rRNA
Rfam family: Bacterial small subunit ribosomal RNA
Source: RNAcentral
UUUAUGGAGAGUUUGAUCCUGGCUCAGGAUGAACGCUGGCGGCGUGCCUAAUACAUGCAAGUCGAGCGAACGGACGAGAAGCUUGCUUCUCUGAUGUUAGCGGCGGACGGGUGAGUAACACGUGGAUAACCUACCUAUAAGACUGGGAUAACUUCGGGAAACCGGAGCUAAUACCGGAUAAUAUUUUGAACCGCAUGGUUCAAAAGUGAAAGACGGUCUUGCUGUCACUUAUAGAUGGAUCCGCGCUGCAUUAGCUAGUUGGUAAGGUAACGGCUUACCAAGGCAACGAUGCAUAGCCGACCUGAGAGGGUGAUCGGCCACACUGGAACUGAGACACGGUCCAGACUCCUACGGGAGGCAGCAGUAGGGAAUCUUCCGCAAUGGGCGAAAGCCUGACGGAGCAACGCCGCGUGAGUGAUGAAGGUCUUCGGAUCGUAAAACUCUGUUAUUAGGGAAGAACAUAUGUGUAAGUAACUGUGCACAUCUUGACGGUACCUAAUCAGAAAGCCACGGCUAACUACGUGCCAGCAGCCGCGGUAAUACGUAGGUGGCAAGCGUUAUCCGGAAUUAUUGGGCGUAAAGCGCGCGUAGGCGGUUUUUUAAGUCUGAUGUGAAAGCCCACGGCUCAACCGUGGAGGGUCAUUGGAAACUGGAAAACUUGAGUGCAGAAGAGGAAAGUGGAAUUCCAUGUGUAGCGGUGAAAUGCGCAGAGAUAUGGAGGAACACCAGUGGCGAAGGCGACUUUCUGGUCUGUAACUGACGC